Molecule: small nucleolar RNA, 73 nt
Organism: Esox lucius (northern pike)
Lineage: Eukaryota; Metazoa; Chordata; Actinopteri; Esociformes; Esocidae
Product: Small nucleolar RNA SNORD49
Source: Ensembl
UUCAGUGAUGAAAUAGCUGCAUAGGAAGUGCCGUCUGAUGCGAUAACUGACGCUGGCUAAAGCUGCUCUGAGA